AGUGAAUAGAUACCCAGGUAGUCCACGCCGUAAACGAUGAGUGCUAAGUGUUAGGGGGUUUCCGCCCCUUAGUGCUGCAGCUAAACGCAUUAAGCACUCCGCCUGGGGAGUACGGUCGCAAGACUGAAACUCAAAGGAAUUGACGGGGGCCCGCACAAGCGGUGGAGCAUGUGGUUUAAUUCGAAGCAACGCGAAGAACCUUACCAGGUCUUGACAUCCCGUUGACCACUGUAGAGAUAUGGUUUUCCCUUCGGGGACAACGGUGACAGGUGGUGCAUGGUUGUCGUCAGCUCGUGUCGUGAGAUGUUGGGUUAAGUCCCGCAACGAGCGCAACCCUUGAUCUUAGUUGCCAUCAUUUAGUUGGGCACUCUAAGGUGACUGCCGGUGACAAACCGGAGGAAGGUGGGGAUGACGUCAAAUCAUCAUGCCCCUUAUGACCUGGGCUACACACGUGCUACAAUGGACGAUACAAACGGUUGCCAACUCGCGAGAGGGAGCUAAUCCGAUAAAGUCGUUCUCAGUUCGGAUUGUAGGCUGCAAC
RNAcentral lists this ribosomal RNA (541 nucleotides) under uncultured bacterium. Its description in RNAcentral is "bacterial SSU rRNA". It matches the Rfam family "Bacterial small subunit ribosomal RNA", at positions 773 to 1311 of the family's 1533-position model. The record is from RNAcentral.